AUUCAAAAAGGAAGGUGGUAUUUUUAACACCUCAUAUAUAGAUCACUUAAUAACACCAUGUACAAAACUCAAGGUGUAACGUUGAAUUAUGUUCUAUAGAGAUUUAUUGUGAAUAGUCAUGCUAAUACACCCCAUGAUAUGGCAUUGUUAUUAUUUUUACCAAAUCUGCACUGAUAUUUGCUUAGCUAGUUAACAUCACAGUUUCCUUUAUUGGAGCCUUGGAGUAGUCUAUGCACAUUGUACACCUGCACAAUUUGCCAACAAUAUGAGCCUCCCAAUUGCAUUCCUUGUUCUCAGGGCACAUAAGGAUUCGGUGGCAAUCUUCCUGACAACCACCAAACUUCUUUAGGUAUUUAAACGUACACCUUCGUUUUGUAUUCGCAUCUACAAAAUAUUACCAAUAAGAAGCAAUCCAAAUCAUGAAAAGAACAGUUUUGUUGAUUGGGUUGAUGCAACACUCUUGGAGGAACUGAUUAAACGUACUUAAUGCUAGCACGAGAAAGGCGAGUGUCAGGAGUAGCGUCAAAGCUGCAAUCUCCAUCCUAACUUGUAUGUGCCGUUGGUAGGAAAGUGACUGCUUGUGAGCCUUGAGGAAGAGAAAAUGAUAUGGCAACCAUUUUUAUAGUAGGUUUGAUAUUAAUGCUCAUUAUUGUAAUACGAAAAUAGCAUGAAAAGAAAGAUUGGAUAAGUUAUGUCGUAUUAAAAGCAAUUAAGUGGACUUCAGGAUAAGAUAUGUACAGACGCUUUGUAGCAGAGCAAAGAGACGAAAUUAAGAGAUUGCACAUUUGAGCAGACGUUUUCACAUGAAAAAGAUAGACAAAAGAAAAACAUCUAUCUAUACAGUUACUAAACUCCCUUGAAAUAAGGUCUCCUAGUGAAUCCAGGGUGUGAAAAGUGCAUGUGCCCUGGGUGACAGUGGGUGAGGCGUGGUGGUGGGAAGCUCGGUCCCUUGCGUGUCCAGUUUUCUUGUGUACAUGCGAAGUUCGCUUGCUGGUCCCUUGCAUGUUGCUUCAUCUAGCAAAGAAAGAAAAAGGUCGUUACCACACCCAGCUAAUAAAAGAAUCUCAAAGAGCAAAACUGAUUGAACAAAGAAAAUGUCAGGAAUAAAUUAGGAUGUGUCUAUUAUAUUCAUAACUAAAAUGUAUUAAUUAAUGAAUCAUCAUUCCUGUGACCAAUCCAAAGUAGUGAUGUCCCUUUUUCUUUUAACAUUUAUAACUGUCAUCUCUUGGAGGCAGCUUCUCCCUAUGUAUAGAUACCUUUUCUAUCAAUGGAAUUAGAGAGGGUAGCUCUCUCUCUCUCCCUCCCCUGACUAUUCUACUUGCAUUUUUCAGAUAUAUGAUCUUUUACUUUUAUUCAAAUUUACCUCCAUGGUCAAACUUCCCGAAAGGCCACCCAUCCUCACACUACUCCAGCCCAAGCACGCUUAACAUCAGAGUUCUAUCCAACCCCAGCACCAGCUCACUUCAGAGGCACUUGUUGAUAUAUCUAGCAUAUCAAUCCAAUUAAACCGUGUUGAUGUUUAGGACUUUGUUCAUGUUCAUGAGUGUGAUGAAAUUUUGAAAAAUUAUUUCAAACUUCCGUUCAUAUUACGUAUCAUAUUUCAAACAGUGCACCACUAGUAAGUUUGAUAUUUUUUGAAUUUUUUUGCCUCUAGAUCUUGAAAGCCCUGUAACUUUUUUUCUGUUAGGUUUUUCAGGAUUUUGAAAAUGUUUAACGGGGUUCCCCCCAGUAAGAUCGGAUGUAUUUUUAACGGGGUUCCCCCGUUAAGAUCGGAUUGGUAAUAUAUUCAAAAAGGAAGGUGGUAUUUUUAACACCUCAUAUAUAGAUCACUUAAUAACACCAUGUACAAAACUCAAGGUGUAACGUUGAAUUAUGUUCUAUAGAGAUUUAUUGUGAAUAGUCAUGCUAAUACACCCCAUGAUAUGGCAUUGUUAUUAUUUUUAGCAAAUCUGCACUGAUAUUUGCUUAGCUAGUUAACAUCACAGUUUCCUUUAUUGGAGCCUUGGAGUAGUCUAUGCACAUUGUACACCUGCACAAUUUGCCAACAAUAUGAGCCUCCCAAUUGCAUUCCUUGUUCUCAGGGCACAUAAGGAUUCAGUGGCAAUCUUCCUGACAACCACCAAACUUCUUUAGGUAUUUAAACGUACACCUUCGGUUUGUAUUCGCAUCUGCAAAAUAUUACCAAUAAGAAGAAAUCCAAAUCAAGAAAAGAACAGUUUUGUUGAUUGGGUUGAUGCAACACUCUUGGAGGAACCGAUUAAACGUACUUGAUGCUAGCACGAGAAAGGCGAGUGUCAGGAGUAGCGUCAAAGCUGCAAUCUUCAUCCUAACUUGUAUGUGCCGUUGGUAGGAAAGUGACUGCUUGUGAGCCUUGAGGAAGAGAAAAUGAUAUGGCAACCAUUUUUAUAGUAGGUUUGAUACUAAUUCUCAUUAUUGUAAUACAAAAAUAGCAUUAAAAGAAAGAUUGGAUAAGUUAUGUCAUAUUAAAAGCAAUUAAGAGGACUUCAGGAUAAGAUAUGUACAGACGCUUUGUAGCAGAGCAAGGAAACGAAAUUAAGAGAUUGCACAUUUGAGCAGACAUUUUCACAUGAUUAAGAUAGAUAAAAGAAAAACAUCUAUCUAUACAGUUACUAAGCGCCCUUGAAAUAAGGUCUCCUAGUGAAUCCAGGGUUUGAAAAGUGCAUGGGCCCUGGGUGAUAGUGGGUGAGGCGUGUUGGUUGGAAGCUCGGCCCCUUGCGUGUCCAGUUUUCUUGUGUACAUGCGCAGUUCACUUGCUGGUCCCUUGCAUGUUGGUUCAUCUAGCAAAGAAAGAAAAAGGCCGUUACCACACCCAGCUAAUAAAAGAAUCUCAAUGAGCAAAACUGAUUGGACAAAGAAAAUGUCAGGAAUAAAUUAGGAUGUGUCUAUUAUAUUAAUAACUAAAAUGUAUUAAUUAAUGAAUCAUCAUUCUUGUGAAUAAUGCAAAGUAGUGAUGUCCCUUUUUCUUUUAACAUUUAUAACUGCCAUCUCUUGGAGGCAGCUUCUCCCUAUGUAUAGAUACCUUUUCUAUCAAUGGAAUUAGAGAGGGUAGCUCUCUCUCUCCCUCCCCUCACUAUUCUACUUGCAUUUUUCAGAUAUAUGAUCUUUUACUUUUAUUCAAAUUUACCUCCGUGGUCAAACUUCCUGAAAGGUCACCCAUCCUCACACUACUCCAGCCCAAGCAUGCUUAACAUCAGAGUUCUAUCCAACCCCAGCACCAGCUCACUUCAGAGGCACUUGUUGAUAUAUCUAGCAUAUCAAUCCAAUUAAACCUUGUUGAUGUUUAGGACUUUGUUCAAGUUCAUGAGUGUGAUGAAAUUUUGAAAAAUUAUUUCAAACUUCCGUUCAUAUUACGUAUCAUAUUUCAAACGGUGCACCACUAGUAAGUUUGAUAUUUUUUGAAUUUUUUUGCCUCUAGAUCUUGAAAGCAAUGUAACUUUUUUUCUGUUAGGUUUUUGAGGAUUUUGAAAAUGUUUAACGGGGUUCCCCCCAUUAAGAUCGGAUGUAUUUUUAACGGGGUUCCCCCGUUAAGAUCGGAUUGGUAAUAUAUUCAAAAAGGAAGGUGGUAUUUUUAACACCUCAUAUAUAGAUCACUUAAUAACACCAUGUACAAAACUCAAGGUGUAACGUUGAAUUAUGUUCUAUAGAGAUUUAUUGUGAAUAGUCAUGCUAAUACACCCCAUGAUAUGGCAUUGUUAUUAUUUUUAGCAAAUCUGCACUGAUAUUUGCUUAGCUAGUUAACAUCACAGUUUCCUUUAUUGGAGCCUUGGAGUAGUCUAUGCACAUUGUACACCUGCACAAUUUUCCAACAAUAUGAGCCUCCAAAUUGCAUUCCUUGUUCUCAGGGCACAUAAGGAUUCGGUAGCAAUCUUCCUGACAACCACCAAACUUCUUUAGGUAUUUAAACGAACACCUUCGGUUUGUAUUCGCAUCUGCAAAAUAUUACCAAUAAGAAGCAAUCCAAAUCAUGAAAAGAACAGUUUUGUUGAUUGGGUUGAUGCAACACUCUUGGAGGAACCGAUUAAACGUACUUGAUGCUAGCACGAGAAAGGCGAGUGUCAGGAGUAGCGUCAAAGCUGCAAUCUUCAUCCUAACUUGUAUGUGGUGUUGGUAGGAAAGUGACUGCUUGUGAGCCUUGAGGAAGAGAAAAUGAUAUGGCAACCAUUUUUAUAGUAGGUUUGAUAUUAAUGCUCAUUAUUGUAAUACAAAAAUAGCAUGAAAAGAAAGAUUGGAUAAGUUAUGUCGUAUUAAAAGCAAUUAAGUGGACUUCAGGAUAAGAUAUGUACAGACGCUUUGUAGCAGAGCAAAGAGACGAAAUUAAGAGAUUGCACAUUUGAGCAGACGUUUUCACAUGAAAAAGAUAGAUAAAAGAAAAACAUCUAUCUAUACAGUUACUAAACUCCCUUGAAAUAAGGUCUCCUAGUGAAUCCAGGGUGUGAAAAGUGCAUGUGCCCUGGGUGACAGUGGGUGAGGCGUGGUGGUGGGAAGCUCGGUCCCUUGCGUGUCCAGUUUUCUUGUGUACAUGCGAAGUUCGCUUGCUGGUCCCUUGCAUGUUGCUUCAUCUAGCAAAGAAAGAAAAAGGCCGUUACCACACCCAGCUAAUAAAAGAAUCUCAAAGAGCAAAACUGAUUGAACAAAGAAAAUGUUAGGAAUAAAUGAGGAUGUGUCUAUUAUAUUGAUAACUAAAAUGUAUUAAUUAACGAAUCAUCAUUCUUGUGACCAAUCCAAAGUAGUGAUGUCCCUUUUUCUUUUAACAUUUAUAACUGCCAUUUCUUGGAGGCAGCUUCUCCCUAUGUAUAGAUACCUUUUCUAUCAAUGGAAUUAGAGAGGGUAGCUCUCUCUCUCCCUCACCUCGCUAUUUUAUUUGCAUUUUUCAGAUAUAUGUUCUUUUACUUUUAUUCAAAUUUACCUCCGUGGUCAAACUUCCCGAAAGGUCACCCAUCCUCACACUACUCCAGUGCAAGCACACUUAACUUUAGAGUUCUAUCCAACCCCAGCACCAGCUCACUUCACAGGCACUUGCUGAUAUAUCCAGCAUAUCAAUCCUAUUAAACCUUUUUGACGUUUAGGACUUUGUUCAUGUUCAUGAGUGUGAUGAAAUUUUGAAAAAUUAUUUCAAACUUUCGUUCAUAUUACGUAUCAUAUUUCAAACGGUGCACCACUAGUAAGUUUGAUAUUUUUUGAAUUUUUUUGCCUCUAGAUCUUGAAAGCAAUGUAACUUUUUUCUGUUAGAUUUUUGAGGAUUUUGAAAAUGUUUAACGGGGUUCCCCCCAUUAAGAUCGGAUGUAUUUUUAACGGGGUUCCCCCGUUAAGAUCGGAUUGGUAAUAUAUUCAAAAAGGAAGGUGGUAUAUUUAACACCUCAUAUAUACAUCACUUAAUAACACCAUGUACAAAACUCAAGGUGUAAUGUUGAAUUAUGUUCUAUAGAGAUUUAUUGUGAAUAGUCAUGCUAAUACACCCCAUGAUAUGGCAUUGUUAUUAUUUUUAGCAAAUCUGCACUGAUAUUUGCUUAGCUAGUUAACAUCACAGUUUCCUUUAUUGGAGCCUUGGAGUAGUCUAUGCACAUUGGACACCUGCACAAUUUGCCAACAAUAUGAGCCUCCAAAUUGCAUUCCUUGUUCUCAGGGCACAUAAGGAUUCGGUGGCAAUCUUCCUGACAACCACCAAACUUCUUUAGGUAUUUAAACGUACACCUUCGAUUUGUAUUCGCAUCUGCAAAAUAUUACCAAUAAGAAGCAAUCCAAAUCAUGAAAAGAACAGUUUUGUUGAUUGGGUUGAUGCAACACUCUUGGAGGAACCGAUUAAACGUACUUGAUGCUAGCACGAGAAAGGCGAGUGUCAGGAGUAGUGUCAAAGCUGCAAUCUUCAUCCUAACUUGUAUGUGGCGUUGGUAGGAAAGUGACUGCUUGUGAGCCUUGAGGAAGAGAAAAUGAUAUGGCAACCAUUUUUAUAGUAGGUUUGAUAUUAAUGCUCAUUAUUAUAAUACAAAAAUAGCAUGAAAAGAAAGAUUGGAUAAGUUAUGUCAUAUUAAAAGCAAUUAAGUGGACUUCAGGAUAAGAUAUGUACAGACGCUUUGUAGCAGAGAAAAGAGACGAAAUUAAGAGAUUGCACAUUUGAGCAGACGUUUUCACAUGAAAAAGAUAGAUAAAAGAAAAACAUCUAUCUAUACAGUUACUAAACUCCCUUGAAAUAAGGUCUCCUAGUGAAUCCAGGGUGUGAAAAGUGCAUGUGCCCUAGGUGACAGUGGGUGAGGCGUGGUGGUGGGAAGCUCGGUCCCUUGCGUGUCCAGUUUUCUUGUGUACAUGCGAAGUUCGCUUGCUGGUCCCUUGCAUGUUGCUUCAUCUAGCAAAGAAAGAAAAAGGCCGUUACCACACCCAGCUAAUAAAAGAAUCUCAAAGAGCAAAACUGAUUGAACAAAGAAAAUGUUAGGAAUAAAUGAGGAUGUGUCUAUUAUAUUGAUAACUAAAAUGUAUUAAUUAACGAAUCAUCAUUCUUGUGACCAAUCCAAAGUAGUGAUGUCCCUUUUUCUUUUAACAUUUAUAACUGCCAUUUCUUGGAGGCAGCUUCUCCCUAAGUAUAGAUACCUUUUCUAUCAAUGGAAUUAGAGAGGGUAGCUCUCUCUCUCCCUCCCCUCGCUAUUUUACUUGUGUCUAUUAUAUUGAUAACUAAAAUGUAUUAAUUAACGAAUCAUCAUUCUUGUGACCAAUCCAAAGUAGUGAUGUCCCUUUUUCUUUUAACAUUUAUAACUGCCAUUUCUUGGAGGCAGCUUCUCCCUAAGUAUAGAUACCUUUUCUAUCAAUGGAAUUAGGCAUUUUUCAGAUAUAUGUUCUUUUACUUUUAUUCAAAUUUACCUCUGUGGUCAAACUUCCCGAAAGGUCACCCAUCCUCACACUACUCCAGCGCAAGCACACUUAACUUUGGAGUUCUAUACAACCCCAGCACCAGCUCACUUCACAGGCACUUGCUGAUAUAUCCAGCAUAUCAAUCCUAUUAAACCUUUUUGACGUUUAGGACUUUCUUCAUGUUCAUGAGUGUGAUGAAAUUUUGAAAAAUUAUUUCAAACUUCCGUUCAUAUUACGUAUCAUAUUUCAAACGGUGCACCACUAGUAAGUUUGAAAUUUUUUGAAUUUUUUUGCCUCUAGAUCUUGAAAGCCCCGUAACUUUUUUCUGUUAGGUUUUUGAGGAUUUUGAAAAUGUUUAACGGGGUUCCCCCCGUUAAGAUCGGAUGUAUUUUUAACGGGGUUCCCCCCGUUAAGAUCGGAUGUAUUUUUAACGGGGUUCCCCCCGUUAAGAUCGGAUUGGUAAUAUAUUCAAAAAGGAAGGUGGUAUUUUUAACACCUCAUAUAUAGAUCACUUAAUAACACCAUGUACAAAACACAAGGUGUAACGAUGAAUUAUGUUCUAUAAAGAUUUAUUGUGAAUAGUCAUGCUAAUACACCCCAUGAUAUGGCAUUGUUAUUAUUUUUAGCAAAUCUGCACUGAUAUUUGCUUAGCUAGUUAACAUCACAGUUUCCUUUAUUGGAGCCUUGGAGUAGUCUAUGCACAUUGUACACCUGCACAAUUUGCCAACAAUAUGAGCCUCCAAAUUGCAUUCCUUGUUCUCAGGGCACAUAAGGAUUCAGUGGCAAUCUUCCUGACAACCACCAAACUUCUUCAGGUAUUUAAACGUACACCUUCAGUUUGUAUUCGCAUCUGCAAAAUAUUACCAACAAGAAGAAAUCCAAAUAAAGAAAAGAACAAUUUUGUUGAUUGGGUUGAUGCAACUCUCUUGGAGGAACCGAUUAAACGUACUUGAUGUGAGCACGGGAAAGGCGAGUGUCAGGAGUAGCGUCAAAGCUGCAAUCUUCAUCCUAACUUGUAUGUGGUGUUGGUAGGAAAGUGACUGCUUGUGAGCCUUGAGGAAGAGAAAAUGAUAUGGCAACCAUUUUGAUAGUAGGUUUGAUAUUAAUGCUCAUUAUUGUAAUACAAAAUAGCAUGAAAAGAAAGAUUGGAUAAGUUAUGUCGUAUUAAAAGCAAUUAAGUGGACUUCAGGAUAACAUAUGUACAGACGCUUUGUAGCAGAGCAAGGAAACGAAAUUAAGAGAUUGCACAUUUGAGCAGACGUUUUCACAUGAAAAAGAUAGAUAAAAGAAAAACAUCUAUCUAUACAGUUACUAAGGUCCCUUGAAAUAAGGUCUCCUAGUGAAUCCAGCGUUUGAAAAGUGCAUGGGCCUUGGGUGACAGUGGGUGAGGCAUGUUGGUUGGAAUCUCGGUCCCUUGUGUGUCCAGUUUUCUUGUGUACAUGCGCAGUUCGCCUGCUGGACCCUUGCAUGUUGGUUCAUCUAGCAAAGAAAGAAAAAGACCGUUACCACACCUAGCUAAUAAAAGAAUCUCAAUGAGCAAAACUGAUUGAACAAAGAAAAUGUUAGGAAUAAAUUAGGAUGUGUCUAUUAUAUUGAUAACUAAAAUGUAUUAAUUAACGAAUCAUCAUUCUUGUGACCAAUCCAAAGUAGUGAUGUCCCUUUUUCUUUUAACAUUUAUAACUGCCAUCUCUUGGAGGCAGCUUCUCCCUAUGUAUAGAUACCUUUUCUAUCAAUGGAAUUAGAGAGGGUAGCACUCUCUCCGUCCCCUCACUAUUUUACUUGCAUUUUUCAGAUAUAUGUUGUUUUACUUUUAUUCAAAUUUACCUCUGUGGUCAAACUUCCCGAAAGGUCACCCAUCCUCACAAUAUUCCAGCCCAAGCACACUUAACUUCAGAGUUCUAUCCAACCCCAGCACCAGCUCACUUCAGAGGCACUUGUUGAUAUAUCUAGCAUAUCAAUCCUAUUAAACCUUGUUGAUGUUUAGCACUUUGUCCAUGUUCAUGAGUGUGAUGAAAUUUUGAAAAAUUAUUUCAAACUUACGUUCAUAUUACGUAUCAUAUUUUGAAAAAAAUUCUCGAAAAAAAUUCGAAACUAAUUUUUUUGCUGUUACUAGUGGCGCACCUAGCAAACGGUGCGCCACUAGUAAGUUUGAAAAUUUUUGAAUUUUUUUGCCUCUAGAUCUUGAAAGCAUUGUAACUUUUUUCUGUUAGGUUUUUGAGGAUUUUGAAAAUGUUUAACGGAGUUCCCCCUGUUAAGAUCUGAUGUAUUUUUAACGGGGUUCCCCCCGUUAAGAUCGGAUGUAUUUUUAACGGGGUUCCCCCCGUUAAGAUCGGAUUGGUAAUAUAUUCAAAAAGCAAGGUGGUAUUUUUAACGCCUCAUAUAUGGAUCACUUAAUAACACCGUGUAUAAAACUCAAGGUGUAAUGUUGAAUUAUGUUCUAUAGAGAUUUAUUGUGAAUAGUCAUGCUAAUACACCCCAUGAUAUGGCAUUGUUAUUAUUUUGAGCAAACCUGCACUGAUAUUUUCUAGCUAGUUAACAUCAGAGUUUCCUUUAUUGGAGCCUUGGAGUAGUCUAUGCACAUUGUACACCUGCACAAUUUGCCAACAAUAUGAGCCUCCAAAUUGCAUUCCUUGUUCUCAGGGCACAUAAGGAUUCGGUGGCAAUCUUCCUGACAACCACCAAACUUCUUCAGGUAUUUAAACGUACACCUUCGGUUUGUAUUCGCAUCUGCAAAAUAUUACCAACAAGAAGAAAUCCAAAUCAUGAAAAUAACAGUUUUGUUGAUUGGGUUGAUGCAACACUCUUGGAGGAACCGAUUAAACAUACUUGAUCCUAGCAUGAGAAAGGCGAGUGUCAGGAGUAGCGUCAAAGCUGCAAUCAUCAUCCUAACUUGUAUGUGGCGUAUGUAGGAAAGUGACUGCUUGUGAGCCUUGAGGAAGAGAAUAUGAUAUGGCAACCAUUUUUAUAGUAGGUUUGAUAUUAAUGCUCAUUAUUGUAAUACAAAAAUAGCAUGAAAAGAAAGAUUGGAUAAGUUAUGUCGUAUUAAAAGCAAUUAAGUGGACUUCAGGAUAAGAUAUGUACAGACGCUUUGUAGCAGAGCAAGGAAACAAAAUUAGGAGAUUGCUCAUUUGAGCAGACGUUUUCACAUGAAAAAGAUGGAUAAAAGAAAAACAUCUAUCUAUACAGUUACUAAGCUCCCUUGAAAUAAGGUCUCCUAGUGAAUCCAGGGUGUGAAAAGUGCAUGGGCCCUGGGUGAUAGUGGGUGAGGCGUGUUGGUGGGCAGCUCGGUCCCUUGCGUGUCCAGAUUCCUUGUGUAUAUGCGCAGUUGACUUCUAUUACUAGUAGCGCACCUAGCAAACGGUGCACCACUAGUAAGUUUGAAAUUUUUUCAUUUUUUUGCUUUUAGAUCUUGAAAGCCCUGUAACUUUUUUUCUGUUAGGUUCUUGAGGAUUUUGAAAAUGUUUAACGAGGUUCCCCCCAUUAAGAUCGGAUGUAUUUUUAACGGGGUUCCCCCCGUUAAGAUCGGAUUGGUAAUAUAUUCAAAAAGGAAGGUGGUAUUUUUAACGCCUCAUAUAUAGAUCACUUAAUAACACCAUGUACAAAACUCAAGGUGUAAUGUUGAAUUAUGUUCUAUAAAGAUUUAUUCCGAAUAGUCAUGCUAAUACAACCCAUGAUAUGGCAUUGUUAUUAUUUUUAGCAAACUUGCACUGAUAUUUGCUUAGCUAGUUAACAUCAUAGUUUCCUUUAUUGGAGCCUUGGAGUAGUCUAUGCACAUUGUACACCUGCACAAUUUGCCAACAAUAUGAGCCUCCAAAUUGCAUUCCUUGUUCUCAGGGCACAUAAGGAUUCGGUGGCAAUCUUCCUGACAACCACAAAACUUCUUCAGGUAUUUAAACGUACACCUUCGGUUUGUAUCCGCAUCUGCAAAAUAUUACCAAGAAGAAGAAAUCCAAAUCAUGAAAAGAACAGUUUUGCUGAUUGGGUUGAUGAAACACUCUUGGAGGAACCGAUUAAACGUACUUGAUCCUAGCACGAGAUAGGCGAGUGUCAGGAGUAGCAUCAAAGCUGCAAUCUUCAUCCUAACUUGUUUGUGGCGUUGGUAGGAAAGUGACUGCUUGUGAGCCUUGAGGAAGGGAAAAUGAUAUGGCAACCAUUUUUAUAGUAGGUUUGAUAUUAAUGCUCAUUAUUGUAAUACAAAAAUAGCAUGAAAAGAAAGAUUGGAUAAGUUAUGUCGUAUUAAAAGCAAUUAAGUGGACUUCAGGAUAAGAUAUGUACAGACGCUUUGUAGCAGAGCAAGGAAACAAAAUUAAGAGAUUGCACAUUUGAGCAGACGUUUUCACAUGAAAAAGAUAGAUAAAAGAAAAACAUCUAUCUAUACAGUUACUAAGCUCCCUUGAAAUAAGGUCUCCUAGUGAAUCCAGGGUGUGAAAAGUGCAUGGGCCCUGGGUGACAGUGGGUGAGGCGUGUUGGUGGGCAGCUCGGUCCCUUGCGUGUCCAGUUUUAUUAUGUACAUGCGCAAUUCACUACUGUUACUAGUGGCGCACCUAGCAAACGGUGCGCCACUAGUAAGUUUGAAAUUUUUUGAAUAUAUUGGCCUCUAGAUCUUGAAAUCACUGUAACUUUUUUUCUGUUAGGUUUUUGAGGAUUUUGAAAAAAGUUAACGGGGUUCUCCCCAUUAAGAUCCGAUGUAUUUUUAACAGGAUUCCCCUCGUUAAGAUCGGAUUGGUAAUAUAUUAAAAAAGGAAGAUGGUAUUUUUAACGCCUCAUAUAUAGAUCACAUAAUAACACCAUGUACAAAACUCAACGUGUAACAUUGAAUUAUGUUCUAUAAAGAUUUAUUGCGAAUAGUCAUGCUAAUACACCCCAUGAUAUGGCAUUGCUAUUAUUUUUAACAAACCUGCACUGAUAUUUGCUUAGGUAGUUAACAUCACAGUUUCCUUUAUUGGAGCUUUUGACUAGUCUAUGCACAUUGUACACCUGCACAAUUUGCCAACAAUAUGAGCCUCCAAAUUGCAUUCCUUGUUCUCAGGGCACGUAAGGAUUCGGUGGAAAUCUUCCUGACAACCACCAAACUUCUUCAGCUAUUUAAACAUACACCUUUGGUAUGUAUCCGCAUCUGCAAAAUAUUACCAACAAGAAGAAAUCCAAAUCCUGAAGAGAACAGUUUUGUUGAUUGGGUUGAUGCAACACUCUUGGAGGAACCGAUUAAACGUACUUGAUGCUAGCACGAGAAAGGCGAGUGUCAGAAGUAGCGUCAAAGCUGCAAAAUUCAUCCUAACUUGUAUGUGACGUUGGUAGGAAAGUGACUGCGUGUGAGCCUUGAGGAAGAGAAAAUGAUAUGGCAGCAAUUUUUGUAGUAGGUUUAAUAUUAAUGCUCAUUAUUGUAAUACAAAAAUAGAACGAAAAGAAAGAUUGGAUAAGUUAUGUCGUAUUUAAAGCAAUUAAGUGGACUUCUGGAUAAGAUAUGUCCAGACGCUUUGUAGCAGAGCAAGGAAACGAAAUUAAGAGAUUGCACAUUUGAGCAGACGUUUUACAUGAAAAAGAUAGAUAAAAGAAAAACAUCUAUCUAUACAGUUACUAAGCUCCCUUGAAAUAAGGUCUCCUAGUGAAUCCAGGGUGUGAAAAGUGCAUGGGCCCUGGGUGACAGUGGGUGAGGCCUGUUGGUGGGCAGCUCGGUCCCUUGCGUGUCCAGUUUCCUUGUGUACAUGCUCAGUUCACUUCUGUUACUAGUAGCGCACCUAGCAGACGGUGCGCCACUAGUAAGUUUGAAAUUUUUUGAUUUUUUUUGCCUCUAGAUCUUGAAAGCCCUGUAACUUUUUUUCUCUUAGGUUUUUGAGGAUUUUGAAAUUGUUUAACGGGGUUCCCCCCGUUAAGAUCGGAUGUAUUUUUAACGGGGUUCCCCCCGUUAAGAUCGGAUUGGUAAUAUAUUCAAAAAGGAAGGUGGUAUUUUUAACGCCUCAUAUAUAGAUCACUUAAUAACACCAUGUACAAAACUCAAGGGGUAAUGUUGAAUUAUGUUCUAUAAAGAUUUAUUCCGAAUAAGCAUGCUAAUACACCCCAUGAUAUGGCAUUGUUAUUAUUUUUAGCAAACCUGCAAUGAUAUUUGCUUAGCUAGUUAACAUUAGAGUUUCCUUUAUUGGAGCCUUGGAGUAGUCUAUGCACAUUGUACACCUGCACAAUUUGCCAACAAUAUGAGCCUCCAAAUUGCAUUCCUUGUUCUCAGGGCACAUAAGGAUUCGGUGGCAAUCUUCCUGACAACCACCAAACUUCUUCAGGUAUUUAAACGUACACCUUCGGUUUGUAUCCGCAUCUACAAAAUAUUACCAACAAGAAGAAAUCCAAAUCAUGAAAAGAACAGUUUUGUUGAUUGGGUUGAUGCAACACUCUUGGAGGAACCGAUUAAACGUAUUUGAUGCUAGCACGAGAAAGGCGAGUGUCAGGAGUAGCGUCAAAGCUGCAA
RNAcentral lists this long non-coding RNA (13321 nucleotides) under Triticum aestivum (bread wheat). Its description in RNAcentral is "long non-coding RNA (TAES_LNC026679)". Lineage: Eukaryota; Viridiplantae; Streptophyta; Magnoliopsida; Poales; Poaceae. The record is from RNAcentral.